GAUGAAGAACGCAGCGAAAUGCGAUACGUAGUGUGAAUUGCAGAAUUCAGUGAAUCAUCGAAUCUUUGAACGCACAUUGCACCUCACGGUAUUCCGGGAGGUAUGCCUGUUCGAGCGUCAUUUGUACCCUCAAGCUCUGCUUGGUGUUGGGUGUUUGUUCCGCCUCUGUGUGUGAACUCGCCUCAAAACAAUUGGCAGCCGGCGUACUUGUUUCGGAGCGCAGCACAUUUUGCGAUCCAGAUCAACGUACAGCGGCAUCCAAGAAGCCUUAUUUAACGCUCUUGACCUCGGAUCAGGUAGGGAUACCCGCUGAACUUAAGCAUAUCAAUAAGCGGAGGA
RNAcentral lists this unclassified non-coding RNA (339 nucleotides) under soil metagenome. RNAcentral describes it as "partial contains 5.8S ribosomal RNA, internal transcribed spacer 2, and large subunit ribosomal RNA". The stretch from base 1 to 120 matches the Rfam family "5.8S ribosomal RNA", at positions 35 to 154 of the family's 154-position model. The record is from RNAcentral.